GAGCGUGUAUCCAGCCAUGCCGCUAUGUGUGAAUAAGGUCUUCCGAUUGUAAUGCACUUUAAGUUGGGAGGAAGGGUUGUAGUUAAUACUCUGCAAUUUUGACGUUACCGACAGAAUAAGCACCGGCUAACUCUGUGCCUGCAGCCGCGGUAAUACAGAGGGUGCAAGCGUUAAUCGGAAUUACUGGGCGUAAAG
RNAcentral lists this ribosomal RNA (195 nucleotides) under uncultured Pseudomonas sp. Its description in RNAcentral is "partial 16S ribosomal RNA". It matches the Rfam family "Bacterial small subunit ribosomal RNA", at positions 378 to 565 of the family's 1533-position model. The record is from RNAcentral. Lineage: Bacteria; Pseudomonadati; Pseudomonadota; Gammaproteobacteria; Pseudomonadales; Pseudomonadaceae.